UGGGGAAUUUUGGACAAUGGGCGCAAGCCUGAUCCAGCCAUGCCGCGUACGGGAAGAAGGCCUUCGGGUUGUAAACCGCUUUUGUCAGGGAAGAAAUCUUCUGAGUUAAUACCUCGGGAGGAUGACGGUACCUGAAGAAUAAGCACCGGCUAACUACGCGCCAGCAGCCGCGGUAAUACGUAGGGUGCAAGCGUUAAUCGGAAUUACUGGGCGUAAAGCGUGCGCAGGCGGUUUUGUAAGACAGAGGUGAAAUCCCCGGGCUCAACCUGGGAACUGCCUUUGUGACUGCAAGGCUUGAGUGCGGCAGAGGGGGAUGGAAUUCCGCGUGUAGCAGUGAAAUGCGUAGAUAUGCGGAGGAACACCGAUGGCGAAGGCAAUCCCCCUGGGCCUGCACUGACGCUCAUGCACGAAAGCGUGGGGGGACAACAA
RNAcentral lists this ribosomal RNA (429 nucleotides) under uncultured bacterium. RNAcentral's name for it is "partial 16S ribosomal RNA". It matches the Rfam family "Bacterial small subunit ribosomal RNA", at positions 355 to 775 of the family's 1533-position model. The record is from RNAcentral.